GACGAACGCUGGCGGCGUGCUUAACACAUGCAAGUCGAGCGGUAAGGCCCUUUCGGGGGUACACGAGCGGCGAACGGGUGAGUAACACGUGGGUGACCUGCCCUUAGCUCUGGGAUAAGCCUGGGAAACUGGGUCUAAUACCGGAUAUGACUCCACGACGCAUGUUGUGGGGUGGAAAGCCUUGUGCGGCUAGGGAUGGGCCCGCGGCCUAUCAGCUUGUUGGUGGGGUGAUGGCCUACCAAGGCGACGACGGGUAGCCGGCCUGAGAGGGCGACCGGCCACACUGGGACUGAGACACGGCCCAGACUCCUACGGGAGGCAGCAGUGGGGAAUCUUGCGCAAUGGGCGAAAGCCUGACGCAGCGACGCCGCGUGAGGGAUGAC
This 383-nucleotide ribosomal RNA is filed under the name uncultured bacterium. Its description in RNAcentral is "bacterial SSU rRNA". It matches the Rfam family "Bacterial small subunit ribosomal RNA", at positions 28 to 412 of the family's 1533-position model. The record is from RNAcentral.